This is a small nucleolar RNA of Trichomycterus rosablanca, 77 nucleotides long. RefSeq annotates it as small nucleolar RNA MBII-202. NCBI's taxonomy places the organism in Eukaryota, Metazoa, Chordata, Actinopteri, Siluriformes, Trichomycteridae. The transcript has a single exon. The record is from RefSeq and is a predicted model, not a curated record.
UGAUGACAUUCUCCGGAAUCUCUGUACAUCUUUGAUGAUGCACUUUGAACCCCUUUGCUGAUGACUGUUGUGCUGUU